RNAcentral lists this long non-coding RNA (3360 nucleotides) under Sus scrofa (pig). RNAcentral's name for it is "lncRNA (ENSSSCG00000060992.1)". The record is from RNAcentral. Lineage: Eukaryota; Metazoa; Chordata; Mammalia; Artiodactyla; Suidae.
CUGUCUGUUGGCCAACAAUCUAGACUAUCUGAUUCAGUUCAAAAUUUACAUCUAUGAACAUUACCCCCCUUAGUCUUAUGUUCAAGCAGAGAAACUGUAGUUCAGUCAUCCACCAAGUGGCCAUCCUAGAUCCCGAGGCAGGGAUUGAUGGAUCAAUGUGGCUGUUCCUACUCCCGUCAGUCAGGAGCAUGGCACAUACAAGAACACCAGCAUAUACAGGUUACACAAAAUACUAUGGAAUAGAGAUUAAACGUGCAAACUCAUUGGGAGUUCCUGCUGUGGUGCAGUGGGCUAAGAACCUGACUGCAGUGGCUCAGGCUGCUGCAGAGGCACAGUUCAAUCCCCAGCCCAGCCCAGUGAGUGAAAGGAUUAAGGUAGGUUGCAGCCGCAGCUGGGAUUCAAUCCCUGGCCAGGGAACUUCUAUAUGUCACAAGUGCAGCUAUAACAUUAAAAAAAAAAUGUGGACACUCAUUUGCAGUUACAGAAAUUAAGAACACAUAUUCUACAGUUAGAAGCUUUGUGCUUAAGUUCUGAGUCUGCUGGUGACAGUGUGGUGGUGUCUCUGCCUCUCUUAAUCCCAUGCACGGUCUCUAUUUCCAACUAUGGUUGCUCACUACUGGAUUCCUCACUUGACACUCCCUGGGUAACAGUCCUUGACAGAGGACCCUGGACUUGGCAAAGGGCUUUUCAUUCUUCUGCUUAGAAAUUUACAAUGACUUUCUAUUGUCUUUUGUUUCCAGACCAGAUCCUUCCAGAUAAGUUGGAGGUUUUCUGCUUUUUGUUUUUUGUUAUUUAAUUAUUAUUGCUAAUUUUUAAAAAGCCUUAAGUAGCUGUCAAAAGUGUCAGUCAGGAAGGUGAGAGCUGAAAUGAAGCCAGUCACAAUGCUGACGUGGCUGACAAUUUGUUGGAAGUGGCAACAGCAAUGAACCAAGGAUGACAGAAAGAUAAUAACGACAUUUUGUUGACUAAUAGACUUUAACGGCCACGGAAGGUAGCCCUAAGAGGAAAAUCAGAAACUCCAUUCCAAUAUACUAUUAUUUAUAUGGGGUUGAUUACAAUAUUUUAAAUGUUUACCCACACACAGUAUAAAAGACCUGGCUCACAAUACCAUUUUAAAUAGAAGAUAACUUUUAAGAGAAGAUCUUAAUACAUUCUAGUCCUGUCCUUUACUAGACUAGAAUCUCCUAAGAGACUUAUUUAAGAACGAAUGAGGGUAAGAGGCUACACAGAGUAUUUAGAAAGAGUGUAAAACAGUGAGAGACAUGGCUCAAAUAAGCCAGCAAGCAACAAUAAGAAAAGGAAAGAGCGAAUUUUUAAACGGAUUUAAAUACCUUAAUUACAUAAUCAGUUGUUACUCUCUUAUCUUUUGCACUGGAAAAUUAAUUUUGCCUGAAAAUACAAAUGUGAAAAUAUCAGACUUUUCUUAUAAAGAAAGUAUGUAAAUUCAAAGUCUGAUGAUUAAUUUUAUGGUCAACUUGAUUGACUUAAAGGACGCCCAGAGCGCGGGUAAACUUCAUUUCUGGGUGUGUCUGUGACGGUGCUUUCGGAAGAGAUUGUAGGAUGGGUGGAGAAGGGAUUGCCCUCGCCAAUGCAGGGGGGCUCGUCCAACUCACUGAGGGCCCAAACAGAAGGAAGAGGCAGAGGAAGGGCAAGGGGGGCCCUCUGUCGGAUCUGGGACACCCAUCUUCUCCUGUCCUUGGGCAUCAGUGGUCCUGCUUCUCAGGCUCUCAGACUUCAACUAAAUUUCGCCACUGGCUUUUCUGGUUUUCCAGUUUGCAGAUAGCAGAUCAUGGAAAUUCUUGGGCCUCCUUAGUCUAUAACAAAUCUGCCUCUGUCUCCCUCUGUCCCUCCUUUUCUCUGUCUCCCUCUCUCUCUCGCCUUUCUCCGUCUCUUGUCUCUGUCUCUCUCUCUGUCUCUGUCUGUCUGUGUGUCUGUCUCUCUCUCACACACACAGAACCAAGAGAGGCUAUAGAGCCUCUCUUGGUUUUGUUUCUUAGGAGAAUACUGAUUAACACCCAAGGGCUUCCUGAUGAUAAAUUACAACUGUGUAACUAUGAAUUAAUUUGAGGAUAAAAACAUAAACUCUAGGAGUACUUGAUGCAUGGAACUCAAGAAUGAGCUAUACAUGUUAAAAGUUUCAUGUGCCUCAUUUUCUGUCAUUAGAAAUCUUUAUGUAAAUCUGGAAAUAAAAUUCUAGGCCUUCUUUAAAACACGUAUGCAUUUUUCAUUUAUGUUAAACUGACAAAAAUUAUAUUCUAUUUGACACACAUUUUAGACUGCAGAGAGAAAAUUUCCUUAAAACAUGAGGUGAUGAAGCAUAAAAUCAUGCAUUUUGUUUCCUAAAUUCACAGUCACAUUAGAUAUCUAUUAUUGCUAACCUCAGUAUUGAUGCUGUUAUUAUUUUUUCUUCACCAAGUGGGAAUAGUAGUUUCAGAAAUUUGAUAUUUUCAAUAGACACUUGUAUUCCCCCAGGCUUUAUUUAUUGAAAUAUUAUUGCAAAUAUUUCUAUCAUGAUCAUCUAAGUGAUACAUUAUACCCAUCUUUCCUCUGAGGAGAUUUCAUUGUUUCUGUUUUUAAUAUUAGAUACGUGCAUUCUUAGCUUGAGAUCUUACCAUUAUAAACUUUUGAAAUCUGCUUUAUCAACUUUUGUUGCAUAUGUUUGAUAACAGGAUAUAAGAGAAAGCCAAUAUAUUUUUUUGUUGGAUGAGGGCGACCACAAAACCAGUCGAUAUGCUAUGAAAACUUUGAUAAUCUUAUCUUUAUGUUAAACAUCUUAAGAGCUUCUAAAAGAAACAUUCAUUAUGUCGAAGUUUUGAUUUUGAUAUAAUACUGUCCAAUAUUUUAUUUUUUGUUGCAUUUGGCUCAGUGACAAAAGUAUGCAAUAUAAAAUAGCAGAAUAGACAAAAAGCAAACGUCCUAUAAGAAUGAAAUGAUACACAGACAAUGAUGAUAAAAUUACAAUUUAUAUCUCUAUGGCAAUAACAAUUGGAACUAAGGUUUUGCAAUUUUUCAUGACAUUAAAAGCCAUUUAUUUUGUUGGAAUACUGUUCCCUAAAAAUAACACUAUGUUUUUAUAUUUGUACUUGGUUUUUGAAUACAGUUUUUUAAAUGAUGGAGUAAAUAUUUAUAUUUGGCAAAAUAUAAUUAAAGGAAAAUAUAUAAACAAAAUACUUAAAUACCCCCCCUUUAAGCCAAACAUUCAGCUAACAGUUUUACAAUGCUGUAUAUCUAUUGUAUUUGAUGGACAAAAUAUACCAUUGUACUCGGGCCAUUUCUAUAUUAAAUAGUAUGCUUUCAUAUGACGGCAGUAGGAAUCCUAGAUAUUAGUGGUUUUAAGUAAAAAUAAAUGUAUUACCUCAC